UGGGAGACAAUGAUAUGGUACAAGCCAUUGGAAUUGGCUCAAUUAUUGUAGAGUUUAUUGUGAAGGACCAAAUCAAGAAGAUCAGAUUGAAGAAAGUCUUACAUGUACCAAAGAUGAAGAAGAACCUUCUUUCGGUGAGCAAAAUUGUAUCAUAUGGUUGUAAGGUUUAAUUUGACAUAAAUGGAUGCUUUGUAAAGACAAUGGAUAGAAAACAUAUUGCCAAAGGCCUUACA
This 233-nucleotide long non-coding RNA is filed under the name Physcomitrium patens. RNAcentral describes it as "long non-coding RNA (PPAT_LNC003508)". The record is from RNAcentral. Lineage: Eukaryota; Viridiplantae; Streptophyta; Bryopsida; Funariales; Funariaceae.